UAGGGAAUCUUCCGCAAUGGACGAAAGUCUGACGGAGCAACGCCGCGUGAGUGAAGAAGGAUUUCGGUUCGUAAAACUCUGUUGUUAGGGAAGAAAAAAUGUAUAGUAACUAUAUACAAAAGAGACGGUACCUAACCAGAAAGCCACGGCUAACUACGUGCCAGCAGCCGCGGUAAUACGCAGGUGGCAAGCGUUGUCCGGAAUUAUUGGGCGUAAAGCGCGCGCAGGUGGUUUAGAAAGUCUGAUGUGAAAGCCAACGGCUCAACCGUGGAGGGUCAUUGGAAACUAAUAAACUUGAGUGCAGGAGAGAAAAGUGGAAUUCCUAGUGUAGCGGUGAAAUGCGUAGAGAUUAGGAGGAACACCGGUGGCGAAAGCGGCUUUUUGGCCUGCAACUGACACUGAGGCGCGAAAGCGUGGGGAGCAAACAGG
RNAcentral lists this ribosomal RNA (429 nucleotides) under Verrucomicrobiota bacterium. RNAcentral's name for it is "Verrucomicrobia bacterium partial 16S ribosomal RNA". It matches the Rfam family "Bacterial small subunit ribosomal RNA", at positions 355 to 776 of the family's 1533-position model. Lineage: Bacteria; Pseudomonadati; Verrucomicrobiota. The record is from RNAcentral.